GCCGGCGUAUGGGUAACCUGGUAACCCAGCAGCCUGGAAAGCUGCCGCUCGAAAGGGCUUGCAAGUUCAAAUCUUGCCGCCGGCG
This 85-nucleotide transfer RNA is filed under the name Nitrososphaerota archaeon. Its description in RNAcentral is "tRNA-Ser". It matches the Rfam family "tRNA". Rfam says of the family: Transfer RNA (tRNA) molecules are approximately 80 nucleotides in length. Their secondary structure includes four short double-helical elements and three loops (D, anti-codon, and T loops). The record is from RNAcentral. RNAcentral also lists the same sequence under 2 other names. Lineage: Archaea; Thermoproteati; Nitrososphaerota.